CUUGUUUGGCUGGCAGCAGAUAACUCAGCCAAGGCAGUCGAUAAGGAAGACCUUUCUCCACAGUAGGAGGCCAUACGGUACUACAAAGUGCAGCAGACAGGAUCCUCCUGCAAACCCAGUUGAUGGCUGGUUGCUUGACAACACCCAGCAGGAUAACAUUACUCUGAGUGUUGGUGCUUAUUGAUUGACUUUCCUGGCUUUGUCAUGAGACAUAAAUAAGAUUGCUGCUUGUGAAAUUGAUCACAUCAGGCCUUUGCAGGGUGUCUGACUUUUGACAUCUGAUUGAAAACUUUUAGCAGCCUGCUUCUUCAAGACCAUAGUUGGAAGAAAGAGGAAUAUUUCCACAGAGGAAGUAAUCAUAGCUGUUCUGUGUUGCAUAAAGUAGCUUAUUUAUUAAUAAAAUUGAGUCAAACCAAUUUGGAACCCAGUUAAAAAGGCUCUCCAUUUAUGAAGCUUGCCUCUGUAGCCAAAGCAAUGGAAAAACAGCUACACAUCCCAUGACGUUUAUAUUGGUUCAUUUUCUGCACAGUUUCUGGAUCUCUGCUGCCCCCAAAUUUUCUUUAAAAAAGAAAACCAUAAGUGAUGUAUUACUUAAGCAACAUAUGCAUGUAAAGGCAAGAGACACGGCUGCCUUACCUCCAUGCAGACUGGACAGGAACUUGCUCGCACUCGUGACACCACCUCUCCUAUCAUUAUUUCUGGGAGUGAUGUUAGUGGUGGUGUUGCUCUUAAGAGGCACCCCCGUGGCCAAUCCAGGAGAAAAGAGAAGUGUGCCAUCCAGCACGACUGAUAGCCAAGCUAUGGCUCUUCUCACCCUCCUCUAGCUCCAUCAGGAGGAGAUGAUGGGGUGGGGGCAAACUCUGGGGGCAGCCAGCCAACAAAUGAGCCUACACCAGAGACACCUCUCUCCAUGUUCAGGGAGCCACUAGUAAGGCUUCAUCCUCCUCCGUUUCUUCAUCACCAAGGUGGGGGUGGAAGUGGGGAGCAGGAGGAGCAGGUGGGGAGGGUCACCCUGGCUUUUGCAAAAGAGGAGGAGAACCCAAAGCCAAGAUCUCUUUCAGUCUCCCACCCCCCUCCUCAUCCCCCUCCUCAUCUGAACCCCAGAAUAGAAAAUCGCUCAUCUUGCUACCUUUUUCCACUAAAUUUGCUCUUAUUUCAUUCUGCUUCGGAUAACAACUGCCUGUCUGUUAUCAAUAACAACUGAAUCAAUACAGGAUUGGUAGAUUUUAAAACAACC
Non-coding RNA from Pogona vitticeps (central bearded dragon), 1237 nucleotides. NCBI's taxonomy places the organism in Eukaryota, Metazoa, Chordata, Lepidosauria, Squamata, Agamidae. The record is from RefSeq and is a predicted model, not a curated record.